AUUGAACGCUGGCGGCAGGCCUAACACAUGCAAGUCGAACGAGAGGCGGACGGGUGAGUAAUGUCUGGGAAACUGCCUGAUGGAGGGGGAUAACUACUGGAAACGGUAGCUAAUACCGCAUACCAUCAGAUGUGCCCAGAUGGGAUUAGCUAGUAGGUGGGGUAAUGGCUCACCAAGGCGACGAUCCCUAGAGGGUCUGAGAGGAUGACCAGCCACAAUGGAACUGAGACACGGCCCAGAUUCCUACGGGAGGCAGUAGUGGGGAAUAUUGCACAAUGGGCGCAAGCCUGAUGAAGCCAUGCCGCGGGUGUGAAGAAGGCCUUCGGGUUGUAAAGCACUUUCAGCGUGGAGGCGUUACUCGCAGAAGAAGCACCGGCUAACUCCGUGCCAGCAGCCGCGGUAAUUC
RNAcentral lists this ribosomal RNA (406 nucleotides) under uncultured bacterium. RNAcentral's name for it is "partial 16S ribosomal RNA". It matches the Rfam family "Bacterial small subunit ribosomal RNA", at positions 30 to 526 of the family's 1533-position model. The record is from RNAcentral.